Molecule: ribosomal RNA, 169 nt
Filed under: uncultured Clostridium sp.
Lineage: Bacteria; Bacillati; Bacillota; Clostridia; Eubacteriales; Clostridiaceae
Description: partial 16S ribosomal RNA
Rfam family: Bacterial small subunit ribosomal RNA
Source: RNAcentral
CCUACGGGAGGCAGCAGUGGGGAGUAUUGCACAAUGGGGGAAACCCUGAUGCAGCAACGCCGCGUGAGUGAUGAAGGCCUUCGGCUUGUAAAGCUCUGUCUUUGGGGACGAUAAUGACGGUACCCAAGGAGGAAGCCACGGCUAACUACGUGCCAGCAGCCGCGGUAAU